CGCUGGCGGCGUGCCUAAUACAUGCAAGUCGAGCGAACAGAUAAGGAGCUUGCUCCUUUGACGUUAGCGGCGGACGGGUGAGUAACACGUGGGUAACCUACCUAUAAGACUGGAAUAACUCCGGGAAACCGGNGCUAAUGCCGGAUAACAUUUAGAACCGCAUGGUUCUAAAGUGAAAGAUGGUUUUGCUAUCACUUAUAGAUGGACCCGCGCCGUAUUAGCUAGUUGGUAAGGUAACGGCUUACCAAGGCAACGAUACGUAGCCGACCUGAGAGGGUGAUCGGCCACACUGGAACUGAGACACGGUCCAGACUNCUACGGGAGGCAGCAGUAGGGAAUCUUCCGCAAUGGGCGAAAGCUGACGGAGCAACGCCGCGUGAGUGAUGAAGGUCUUCGGAUCGUAAAACUCUGUUAUUAGGGAAGAACAAAUGUGUAAGUAACUAUGCACGUCUUGACGGUACCUAAUCAGAAAGCCACGGCUAACUACGUGCCAGCAGCCGCGGUAAUACGUAGGUGGCAAGCGUUAUCCGGAAUUAUUGGGCGUAAAGCGCGCGUAGGCGGUUUCUUAAGUCUGAUGUGAAAGCCACGGCUCAACCGUGGAGGGUCAUUGGAAACUGGGAAACUAGAGU
This 629-nucleotide ribosomal RNA is filed under the name Staphylococcus sp. RNAcentral's name for it is "bacterial SSU rRNA". It matches the Rfam family "Bacterial small subunit ribosomal RNA", at positions 34 to 647 of the family's 1533-position model. The record is from RNAcentral. Lineage: Bacteria; Bacillati; Bacillota; Bacilli; Caryophanales; Staphylococcaceae.